AUAAUAGACCAUACCAUUCUGAAAGUGCCUGGUCUUGUUUGAUCCUAGAAGCCAAGCAGGGUUGGUCCUGGUUAGUACUUGGUGGGGGAAGUAAUAAUGGCUGACACUGAUG
RNAcentral lists this ribosomal RNA (112 nucleotides) under Peromyscus maniculatus bairdii (prairie deer mouse). The record is from RNAcentral. Lineage: Eukaryota; Metazoa; Chordata; Mammalia; Rodentia; Cricetidae.